Molecule: ribosomal RNA, 435 nt
Filed under: uncultured bacterium
Lineage: Bacteria
Description: bacterial SSU rRNA
Rfam family: Bacterial small subunit ribosomal RNA
Source: RNAcentral
CAGGCCUAACACAUGCAAGUCGAACGAAGGCUUCGGCCUUAGUGGCGCACGGGUGCGUAACGCGUGGGAAUCUGCCCUUGGGUUCGGAAUAACAGCGAGAAAUUGCUGCUAAUACCGGAUGAUGACGUAAGUCCAAAGAUUUAUCGCCCAAGGAUGAGCCCGCGUAGGAUUAGCUAGUUGGUGGGGUAAAGGCCUACCAAGGCGACGAUCCUUAGCUGGUCUGAGAGGAUGAUCAGCCACACUGGGACUGAGACACGGCCCAGACUCCUACGGGAGGCAGCAGUGGGGAAUAUUGGACAAUGGGCGAAAGCCUGAUCCAGCAAUGCCGCGUGAGUGAUGAAGGCCUUAGGGUUGUAAAGCUCUUUUACCCGGGAAGAUAAUGACGGUACCGGGAGAAUAAGCCCCGGCUAACUUCGUGCCAGCAGCCGCGGUAAU